UGCCUGGAAUACGGAGAAGGAAGAGAAUGACGACAAGCCCUCCUUUGCUGAGAAAUAGCAGGAGCCCCGAAGAAACAGCAAAAAGCCAAACAACACAAAAACCCAGAACUUCUCAGUACAUGCAAGAGUGCUGAAAAAUAAUGAUAAUGAUGAGAUGCGCCUGCUUGAAAACAAAACAAACAAACAAACAAAAACUCAAACCAAAGCAAACCAAAAGCAGCAAACUUUGGCUUGUCUAACUCCUGAGACAUCGGGCUUUGUAGAGCAGUUCUGAAGGCAACACCACCAAAUGAGCCUUCUUUGUUUUUAUUUCUUUGCUUUUUUAUGGUUAUUUCAAAAACUGUGGCCUAAGAGCAGUACGUUGCACUUGGUGAACCCGCACUUUCGUAUCAGGGGAACAUUUAAAGUGGAUAUGAGAAGAAAAGAAAAUGACCAUAGGAGAAAAAUCAUCUCAGAUUCACUUUAUGAAAAUUGCUCCUGAAAGAAUUUGGAUGUCCAAGAGUGGUCCCUAAAGGACCAAUACUUAUAGGACCUGGGAAUCCUUUUGAUUCUGCAGUGCAACUACCUAUCCUCUGUCCUCCAGUGAUGUCUGCUCAUGGUUAAAGUGAAGCAGAAGCAAUGCUUCUGUUGUUUACAUGUUUGCUUUCCCUCAGUUACGUAGAAAUCAAGACAUAAAUUCCUCUACACUUCAUACCAAACUGGAGUGGUUCAUUGUGUGCUAGCCACUGGUUAUUGCCACCUUAAUUUUGUAAUCAUGCUUACUUUUGAGGGUCUUUGUUGUCUGCAGACUAUUGUUAGGGUUGUUACCUCCCUUUUACUGUGAAGGGAGAAGAGAGAAGGAGGGAACAGAAUCAUAAAGAUUAGUGCUCAAUUGAUGGAGGAAACAGAAGCUUGUUCAAAUUUGGGUUUCCUCUCUUUCAUUUUAGUGUGUACCUGUGAACAAACUUGCCCACUGUCUCUAAAGGGCACUCCCUUAGGCCAGUGACAGAACCUAUCCUAUAACAACAGCCCCAAGAGAAACAUUAUUUGCCAUGGGAGUUAUAGCAAAGUACCCAGAAAUUCCAUUUAAACACUUGAAGUGAGAAAUGGCCCUCAGUGUGUCUUUCAUUUCCUUGAUUCCAGGGAAAAAUGCAAACAAAUGGGGGCUCCAACACUAGGCUGUAAGUUUGAAUCUCUUACAAUGGCCCAGACCUUUCCUUAUCAGAUGCCUUAUCUGUAGAGCUCUGGUAACAUCAAAAGUUCCUGAACAGUCACUUGUUAUAAACUUAGAAUAGGGUCUGCUUAGUACUCGUAGUUAAAAGAACUAUAGUCAUUAUUGCUAUUUGUUAUUUGUGAAAAUUAAGUCUCAUCUGACUUGAAAUGCAUAGAAAGUGCUUGUAUUUCUCUUUAUAUAUAAGAACGGCAAUUCCCUCCUAAAACUAGAAGUUAGGAAGUUCAGAAUCAGCUUCUUCAUUUGUUAGAAGACUUUGGAACAGAUUUCUCUGUUUAUUAGAGGGUUUUCCAUCACUCCAUCUUGAGAACAAGCAUUCUGAGCAUGUGGAAAAUGAGCAUAUCCCCCUGGUGCCUUUGGCAGCACAUCAAGAGCAUAUAUAAAUUUACAUUACAAGUCCAUCUCUGUCCUGACACUUCCCUGAACUUCAUCUCUGUAGGAUGAUACUUUAAUAAUGACUUCUUGUAAACAUUUGGAAUGGAUUCAGACAUAGGUUAGUAUGGUUUCUGGUAAACAUCAAGAGGAAGAUUGCUCAUUGAUUUUAUCAUAUAUCUUGCAGAUCUACCCAUUGUGUAUCAUUCUCAUCCCUCUACUAAAUCUAGACACUACAAGAUAUGGGGUUGUCUUUAAAGCCUUGCCCUUCCAUUUGAGGGGAGUCAGAGACACCUCCCCUACAAGAAGGAAGAAAACCUUGUGUCAACAGCUGUCAGUGAAAAUCUGUCCCUACAAGUUUGUGUCAUGGAGCAUUAAUAUUCUUUAUAUGGCCAACAUUUCUAGCAUUUAAUUUUCCAGAUGUAUUUUCAAAAAACAUGUUAUAGUACGGUCCAUUACCAAUCACUAAUAGAGAGUUUUAUGACUCACUUUUGGACCAAAAAAAAUGAUCAUUUGUUCUGUGAGGAUACAUUUGCAAAACUAGAUGUGGUAACAUUUAAAUGGCCACUUAUUUCUAGUAGAAUACCGCUCUGACUGUAGCCUAAAACUUAGAUUUUCAAUUCAUGGCAUCAUUAUCUUCAAACCCAGAUGGAUGUAUUUUGCACUUAAGGAGCAUAAGUGAAACCAGUUGGAUGGAAAUAGGCUGUGUCUUAUCAUUAAGAAAUUUAUAAAUGGAAAAAUAGUGAUUUGCAUACUAAAUGUAUGGUUGGAGGCCAGGUCCAUCCCCCAAUGGAGUUUGGCUUUUCAAGAAAGAGGAAAGCAACACACAUCUCCACUACAUGCUCCUUUGUUAAAGAAUGGUGGCUCCAGUAUCCAGUGGUCAAGCUGAGCCAUGUGAGCUCUUUCAUGAGUGUGAUGAGCAUUGUGGGGAUUCUUCCAUGACUCAUCUGUCCCUUCCAUCCACAAAACUUUUAUUUUAUGCAUAUUCUGCAUUUUAAAUUUCUAGAAAAUAGAGCUCUUAAAAUAAUGCCAUCACCGCCUUUAAUCCCACCACUCAGGAGACAGAGGCAGGCGGAUCUCUGUGAG
This is a non-coding RNA of Cricetulus griseus (Chinese hamster), 2668 nucleotides long. The record is from RefSeq and is a predicted model, not a curated record. NCBI's taxonomy places the organism in Eukaryota, Metazoa, Chordata, Mammalia, Rodentia, Cricetidae.